GACGAACGCUGGCGGCGUGCUUAACACGUGCAAGUCGAACGCGCCUGUCCUCUGGGUUUCUGGGGGGUGGGUGAGUGGCGAACGGGUGAGUAACACGUGAGUAACCUGCCCCCUUCUUCGGGAUAACGGUCUGAAAGGGCUGCUAAUACCGGGUAUUCACUGGUCUCCGCAUGGGGUCUGGUGGAAAGGUUUUUUUCUGGUGGGGGAUGGGCUCGCGGCCUAUCAGCUUGUUGGUGGGGUGAUGGCCCACCAAGGCUUUGACGGGUAGCCGGCCUGAGAGGGUGACCGGUCACAUUGGGACUGAGAUACGGCCCAGACUCCUACGGGAGGCAGCAGUGGGGAAGAUUGCACAAUGGGCGCAAGCCUGAUGCAGCGACGCCGCGUGAGGGAUGGAGGCCUUCGGGUUGUGAACCUCUUUCGACCGUGGUCAAGCCGCGACGUGGGUCGUGGUGAGGGUAGUGGGUAAAGAAGCGCCGGCUAACUACGUG
RNAcentral lists this ribosomal RNA (488 nucleotides) under uncultured bacterium. RNAcentral's name for it is "partial 16S ribosomal RNA". It matches the Rfam family "Bacterial small subunit ribosomal RNA", at positions 28 to 507 of the family's 1533-position model. The record is from RNAcentral.